AGCUUCUCUGGCCCUGCAAGGCGACCCCUAAGCGCAAUGUCCGGGACCCGCGGUCAGAGGGCCGGAGUGAGGGUGGCAGCGCUCAGGGAAGGAGGCGGAGGCAGAGGCCUCUUUCUUCCCCCGAGGUGGAGAGGGCCCCGGGUCGGAGGAGCGAGGGCCGCACCGCUGGAGCCCACUCCCGCCUCCUUCCCCACGGGCCGGCGCACUUGGGAGCUGGACAGGACGCUCUUCCUGGGCUCGGAGCAGGCGCGGGCCCGGGUUGAGCCGAGCCUGAGCAGGGGCAGGCUCUAGCUGGCGGCUGGCCAGAUGCCCUCCAGGUGCGCAGCGCGUGACCUGCGGCAGGGCGGGGCGGCCCCACGAGAGUUCUUCGAGGGUGGCGGGCGAGUCACGUGAGCAGGGGUUGGGGUCCGCCGGAUAAUGGGGGAUGCGGGAGCCCGCUGGAGGAGUGGAGGGGCGCCUUGGGGAACGGCGGUUAAGCCCCAGCGACGCUCCUGGCCUGGAUGUCGGGCCGUAUCCUUGUCGAGGCUGGGGAGCUGGGCCGAGGAGCCCCAUCCCGCGGGCGCCGCCUCCCAGGUGGGGCGCGGAGCUCGGCUCUGCGCCGCCACCGUGUGGCCGAAGGGGGCAGCGCCUGCUUGGAGCCUCUGGCGAUCGGCUUUCGAUACCCUGCCCCCUUCCGAGCUAGGGUCCAGGAGUGGGGUUGAGGUUGCCAUGGCGACGGGUGCGCGGGCUGGUAUCUUCCUCUGGCUGCUGUGGGGCCGGGGCGUGGACACCCAGCAUCUGCCCUCACCCUGCUCACUGAAUCACCUUGGUGUGGACGAGGAUUAUCCUUCCCAAAAGCAGCCAGGCCUCCCAACAACCAACCAGCUUUUUUUGUUUUGUUAUUUUUUUAAAAAAAAAUAGAGAUAGGGUCUCGCUCUGUUGGCCAGGCUGUCCUCCCAAAGUGCUGGGGUUACAGGCAUAAGCCCCCGCGCGCAGCCCCAGCUUUCUUUUUUUUCUUUUUGCUGGAGUUAAGCAGUAUGAUCUCGGCUCGCUGCAACUUCCGCCUCCAAGGUUCAAGCCGUUCUCCUGCCUCAGCCUCCCAAGUAGCUGGGACUACAGGCACGAGACACCACGCCUGGCUAAUUUUUGUAUUUUUAGUAGAGACGGGGUUUUGCCAAGGCGAGGCCAAGGCAGGUGGAUCACGAGGUCAGGAGUUCAAGACCAGCCUGGCCAACAUGGUGAAACCCCAUCUCUACUAAAAAUACAACAAUUAGCCAGGCGUGGUGGUGCGCACCUGUAGUCUCAGUUACUCGGGAGGCUGAGGCAGGAGAAUUGCUUGAAUCCGGGAGGCAGAGGUUGCAGUGAGUCCAUAUCAUGCCACUGCACUCCAGUCUGGGCGACAGAGCAAGACUGUCUCAAAAAAAAAAAAAAAAAAAUACCUAGGGCCCCCAGCUGUAGUCAUGUCCCAUUCUGGAAAACACUACCAUAGGGAAUUACUGGAAGUACCCUGGGGAGGUAGGAUGAAGCCACUGUUGGUUGAGCAAGGUUGUCUGUGUAUCAAGUAAGGAGGCUUGCUGCUUUUCAUAAUUCUUUCUGAGCCCCAGAUCUAUCAGCAUAUCUGAUCUUAACCUUCCCUGCUGGCAACACUUCGGUGACUCCCAGUUCUCUUCCAGACAAAGAGCAAAUGUCUUAACAUGGCCCGCAAGGCCCUUUGGGAUCUUGAGAUAGGUCCACCAUGGCUCCACUGGGCUGGUGAAUGAGGGAAUGAGAUAGGAGAACCAAGAAACAGGGAGGACUUCCUGGAGGAAGUGACAUUUGAGCUGAAAUCUCACCAAUUUAUGUGCGAGAACCAGGUGAUGGUGGUGAAGCGCUUUCUAGGGAGAAGGAACAGCGUGUAAACAGUUCCUGAGACAGGAGGAAACCUUGUGCAUGUGACCACCUGAAAGAGGCCUGAAGAAGAAACCGGAGGAAUCUGCAGAGGCCAGAUCCUGAGUGCCUGGCGCAUCACAGACUGUGAUUUUUUUUUUUUUUUUUUGAGACAGUCUUGCUCUGUCACCCAGGCUGGAGUGCAGUUGUGCCAUCCAUGGCUUACUGCAGCAUCGACCUCCUAGGCUCAAGCAAUCCUUCCACCUCAGCCUCCCUAGCAGCUGGGACUACAGGUGUGUGCCACUAUGCCUGGCUAAUUUUUGUAUUUUUUGUAGAGCCAGGGUUUCCCUGUGUUGCCCAGGCUUAGACUGUGAUCUUAAUACUGUGCUGUCAGAAGCCAUUCAGAGUUCCAAGCUGGGGGGUGACUUUUAUUCAAUGACGUGAACAACAAAUACUUCUUGAGCACCUACUACAUGUAGAAUGCUGGGGAUUUUAUAGUAACCAGACUCUUGCAAUCUCUGUCAUUGGGAAGCUUAUACUCUUUUCUUUUCCUAAUCAAAGUUAUAUAUGCACAAAGUUUAAACAGAUAAGUUUUUAUAAAAACAGCAGGCUGGGCAUGAUUAUCACACCUAUAAUCCCAGCACUUUGGGAGGCCAAGGUGGGAGGAUUGCUUGAGCCCAGGAGUUCAAGACCAGCCUGGGCAACAUAGUGAGACCUCCAUCUCUACUAAGAAAACAAAAAGACAUCGCCCAUUCCACUGAAGCAGAGGCACCCAUUUUCAACUCCUUUAACUGACUAUAUUUUAUAUUUAUCUCCAUAUCUCGAAAUAAAUGUGCUUGUUUUGCUCUUUCUUGAUAUUUCAGUUAUAGGCACUAUCUCUUGUUUUUCUACCAUGGAAAAUAGUUUUAUUUUUUGGGUUUUUGUGAGACAGGGUCUCACUCUGUCACCCAGGCUGGAGUGCAGUGGUGCCAUCCAUGGCUCACUGCAGCCUCGACCUUCCUGGUUCAAGUGAUCCUCAGCUCAGCCUCUUGAGUAGCUGGGACAAUAGGUGCGCACCACCAUGCCAGGCUAAUAUUUUUUUCUGUUUUUUGUAGAGAUGGGGUCUCACUUUUGUUGCCCAGGCUGGAGGACGAUAGUUUUAACACUUCCCAUCACCAGCCAUACGGAUAAUCCCCAUCUCUCUAAACUGCCAUCAUAAUUUUGUUUUGUUCAAUUCUCAUUGUUUACAUUAUUCGACGGCGCUAUGAUUCCUUUCCUCUACAACUUUUUGUUUUCCUGCAGCUCUUAAUUGUCCUGUUUUACCACUUGCUUAGUGUAUUCCACUCCCUACCAGGUAUCUAAAUCUCCUCUCAAGAUGUUCAGACAGGCUGGGCGUGGUGGCUCACGCCUGUAAUCCCAGCACUCUGGGAGGCCGAGGCAGGUGGAUCAGAGGGUCAGGAGAUUGAGACCAUUCUGGUUAACACGGUGAAACCCCCUCUCUACUAAAAAAUAUAAAAAAUUAGCUGGGCGUGGUGGUGGGCGCCUGUAGUCCCAGCUACUCGGGAGGCUGAGGCAGGAGAAUGGCGUGAACCCUGGAGACGGAGCUUGCACUGAGCCGAGAUUGCGCCACUGCACUCCAGCCUGGGAGACAGAGCAAGACUCUGUCUCAAAAAAAAAAAAAAAAGAUAUUCAGACAAAUCAGAUACCUCAGGUUGGUCUCUCUGGAAGGUACACAGAAGAAGAGGUUUGUUAGGGAUCAACACCUAUGAAAGGAAGUGGGAGGAAGCAGGAUUGGGCAGAAGUCAAACUACAGUGCAGGCCUGGCAAAGCCUAGGCCAACCUGGCAAGGAGCUCUGGAGUGAGUUUUGCCCAUCAGAGUGUGCCAAGCCUGGCUGGAAUGGCCAGGCCUUUAUACCACUGCCUGGCUCAGUCACCUGAUGGGGGCCGCCCUGGGGAAGGAUGAGGAAGGAUGUGGAAGGAUGUGAUCUUGGGCGAGGAGGCUGUCUGCAUCUGAGGCCAGCCCUGGAGCUGACAGCUGGAGGCUGUCUGCUGUCCAAACUCCCUGCAGCUGGGCAGCAGGCCCUUCCUUGAACAGCGGGCGGGGUGGGGGGUGUUGGGAGGCUCAUCUCCAUGACUACCACAUCAAUCUUCUAUCACUUUCAUGUUCUUGAAGAAGUUUUCUUGGAGUCCUCUGUUCUGCUCCAGUCUGGAGUGUUUGCCCUUUAUACCUGGUGAGCAGGUAUCACUCUGGGCAGGGAAAGAUCCAGAUUGUUUAGGGUCUAAAACUUAUGCAGGCAUGGUGUGGUGGCUCAGAAUUUUGGGAGGCCAAAGUGAGAGAAUCUAGGCCAGGAGUUCAAGACCAGCCUGGGCAACGUAACAAGCCCCACUUUCUACCAUCAGUCAUUCAGUCCAAAAUUAUCUGGGUGUGGUGGAAGUUGAGGCAGGAGGAUUGCUUGAGCCCAGGAGAUCAAGGCUGCAUUGAGGCGUGUUUGCGCCACUGUAUUCCAGCCUGGGCAAAAGAGUGAGGCCUUGUCUCAAAAAAAAAAAAAAAAAAGCUUAUACAUUCUGAGUCCUUUUAUUUAUUUAGAGACAGUCUGGCUCUGUCAUCCAGGCUGGAGUGCAGUGGCGCCAUCUUGGCUCACUGCAACCUCCACCUCCAGGGUUCAAACGAUUCUUGUGCCUCAGCCUCCCGAGUAGUUGGGAUUACAGGCGUGUGCCACCACGCCUGGCUAAUUCUUUUAUAUUUUUAGUAGAGACAGGGUUUCACCAUGUUGGCCAGGCUGGUCUCUAACUCCAGGCCUCAGGUGAUCCACCUGCCUCAGCCUCCCAAAGUGCUGGGAUUACAGGCAUGAGCCACUGCUGGCCUUUUUUUUGUUUUUGUUUUUGUUUUUUUGAGACGGAGUCUCAGUCUGUCACCCAGGCUGGAGUACAGUGGCACGAUCUCUGCUCACUGCAGCCUCCGCCUCCAGGGUUCAAGCGAUUCUUCUGCCUCAGCCUCCCGAGUCUCAGUGGUGUGAUCUCUGCUCACUGCAGCCUCAAACUCCUGAGCUCAAGCAAUCCUCCCACCUCAGCCUCCUUAGUAGUAGCUGGGACCACAGGUGCUUACUACCAUGCCCAGCUAGUAUUUUGCAUUUUUAGUAAAGAUGGGGUUUCACCAUGUUGGCCAGGCUGGUCUUGAACUCUCUACUUCAGGUGAUCCGCCCACCUCGACCUCCCGAAGUGCUGGGAUUACAGGUGUGAGCCACCGUGCCCGGCCUAUUAUUUUUUAUUGAGACAGGGUCUUGCUCUGUCGCCCAGGCUGGAGUGCAGUGGCACCAUCUCUGCUCACUGAAACCUGGACCUCCUGGGCUCAAUUGAUGUGCUCUCCUCAGCCUUCUGAGUAGCUGAGAUAAAGAUGCAUACCAUAGUGCUGGGCUAAUUUUUGUGUUUUUUCUUUUUCUUUUUUUUUUUGAGACGGAGUUUCACUCUGUCACCCAGGCUGGAGUGUGGUGGCGUGAUCUCGGCUCACUGCAACCUCUGCCUCCUGGGUUCAAACGAUUCUCCUGCCUCAGCCUCCCGAGUAGCUGGGACUACAGACAGGCGCGCGCCACCACACCCGGCUAAUUUUUUGUAUUUUUAGUAGAGACGGGGUUUCACCGUGUUAGCCAGGAUGGUCUCAAUUUCCUGACCUUGUGAUCCGCCCGCCUCAGCUUCCCAAAGUGCUGGGAUUACAGGCGUGAGCCACUGUGCCCGGCAAUUUUUGUAUUUUUUGUAGAGACAAGGUUUCACCAUGUUGCUCAGGCUGGUUUCGAACUCCUGAGCUCAAGCAAUCCAUCUGCCCGCCUUGGCCUCCCAAAGUGCUGGGAUUACAGUCAUGAGCCACUGCGCCUGGCCUUUCAGUUUUUAAUUGAUUCCUCCCCUCUGUUGUCUCUUUCUUUCUCAGGCUAGAGUGCCAUGGGUCUAUCUCCUUGUUGCAGCCUCUGCCUCCAGGAGGAUCAAGCCAUCCUCCCACCUCAGCCUUCUGAGUAGCUGGGACUACAGGCUCGAGCCACCACUCCCGGCUAAUUUUUGUAUUUUUUUCUAGAGAUGGGGUUUCACCAUGUUGUCCAAGCUGCUCUUGGACUCCUGGGUUCAAGCCAUCCGCCAGCCUCAGCCUCCCAAAGUGCUGGGAUUACAGGUGUGAGCCACUACGCCCAGCCCUAGUCCCCUCUCUUUUCUAUGCUUUCUCUUUCUGUAAUUUCUUUAAUUCAAAUGUUGGGUGUCCUGGACCAGGCCCCUAAUUAUCUUUUUCCUUCCCCUUUUUUAUCCCUUUUUCUCUUUGUUCUACUAUCUGGAAGAUUUCUCCAAAUUUAUCUUCCAGCCCUUUCAUUGAAUUUUUAGAUCCCAAGGACUUUUUGUUGGUGGUGGUGGUUGACUGUUUCUUUUGUUUGUUUGUUUGUUUGUUUUUGAGACAGAGUCUUGCUCUGUCACCCAGGCUGGAGUGCAGUGGCGCGAUUUUGGCUCACUGCAACCUUCGCCUCCCCAGUUCAAGUGAUUCUCCUCUCAGUCUCCCGAGUAGCUGGGAUUACAGGUGUGCACCACCAUGCCCGGCUGAUUUUUGUAUUUUUAGUAGAGACGGGGUUUCACCAUCUUGGCCAGGCUGGUCUUGAACUCCUGACCUUGUGAUCUGCCUGCCUCAGCCUCCCAAAGUACGGGGAUUACAGGCGUGAGUCACCGUGCCCGGCCUUGACUGUUUCUUUUUAAAAUAACAUCCUCUUCAGCUGGGCACGGUGUAUUUUUGUAUCAAAAAAUACAAAAAUUAGCCGGGCAUUGUGGUGUGCACCUGUAAUCCCAGCUACUUGGGAGGCUGGGACAGAACAAUUGCUUGAACCCAGGAGGCGGAUGUUGCAGUGAGCCAAGAUCACACCAGUGUACUCCAGCCUGGGUGACAGAGCAAGAUUCUGUCUCCCAAAAAAGUAAAUAAAUAAAAUAACAUCCUCUUCUUGCAUCAUAGAUGUAAUCUCUUCUCUUCUCUCUCUGAAGAUGUUAACAGUAGGUCUUUCUUCUUGGCUUGGUCAGAUUUCCUUUAGACAACACUUUUCCUGCUCUCUUGCCUAGGGAGCAAAGCCAUGGCGGCCAGCUUUCUGGGAGCCAAUUUGGGAAACAGGGUUGGUGUGGGGUCUCAGCAUUCACAGUGUGUGUGUUCACUUCGUCUCCUGAUUUGGGGAGGAUACCCCCGCCCUCAACCAUGCCUGUGAUCUCUCAUUCCAGUGAUCCUGUUUUCUCCUCUCGGAGAGUAAACCUCCAGUGUUCCGCCAGGAUUAGGGAAGCCACCCAGGGACCUAAUAAUUUUCAUCCUUAAACAGCAGGGUCCAACUCCUCCUUAUUUUAUUCCUCCUCGCCCCCAUAAACAGGUGCCUGAGCCUUUGGGGGAGUCUGUGAUCUGGACUGGGUGGGUUCUCCUCUUUCCCCACAUCCAGUUUAGGGUACAGUUUUCAUGGGUUUGCUGUGUAGUGACCACCUGACCAUCUGCUUCCCAGCCUCCAAAUGCUGUGCAUUUGUCUCCUCCCUCAUUCUCCCCAUCUUAGUGGGUUUAUGCCUUAAAAAGAAUCUCUUUACUGUAGUUUCAGUGAAGUUUUGGGAGGAAGUGAAAUUGGAUGUGUAUGUUCAAUUUGCAGAGCCUCUAUUCUCGCCUAAACCAAUACACAGAUUAAUAAUUACAGACUGUGAGAGCUACAAAGGAAACAAAUAAGGGGCCAAGAUGAGAACAGGCAGGAAUACUUAGGCUUGAAAAAUGCAGAUUUGCAUCUUUAAAUAUGUGUCUUACUGCACUCCCGUCUGGGCGACAGAGCCAGACCCUGUCUCAAAAAAAUAAAAAUAAAAAUAAAAUAUGCGUCUUGCUGCUGUGCAGAGAAGAGAUUGUCCAGGAACAAGCAGGGAGUGUGGGAGACAGUGAGGAAGCCACUGAGAUCAAGGUGAGGGAUGGGGUUGAUUGGAAAGGUCAUGGCUAUAAAGCUAGAAGGAGCCAUUUAGGAUUCAGAGAGACUGUGACCUCCAGGAGGACAGGCACCAUGUCCAUUUUAUUCCCUGAUGUUUACAUACCCAGAGCCUAACAUGGUCCCUGGCCAUCACAGACAUUGUAUAAAAUACUUAUGGAAUGGACAUGGUAGAUGAGGAAGAGAGACGAGUCCAGGAUGACCUUCAGGUCCUCUGAGGGCUAUGAGUGUGUAGCCAAAGGGAGCCACAGGUGGUGUGGGAGCAGGGGAAUGACCAGGUGAGAGUCUUACCUGCGUCAUUGGGCCCCUCCACUUCCUGGCCUGUCUCCCACCACACCCCCCAGUCUGGCCUCCUCACUCAAGCACUUCCCUCUGCCUAACAUUCCCUUUCCCUAGCCCCACUCUUUCAACCUGGCCACUCCACUGUCCGUCCUGACCUCAGGAGGCCUCAGUCAAAUUCUGAUACCCGUUCUUUUUCUGCAGAACUCUUUUUUUUUUUUUUUUUGAGACAGAGUUUCGUUCUUGUUGCCCAGGCUGGAGUGCAAUGGCACUAUCUCAGCUCACGGCAACCUCAGCCUCCCAGGUUCAAGCGAUUCUUCUGCCUCAGCCUCCCCAGUAGCUGGGAUUGCAGGCAUGUGCCACCACGCCCAGCUAAUUUUGUAUUUUUAGUAAAGAUGGGGUUUCUCCAUGUUGGUCAGGCUGGUCUGGAACUCCUGACCUAAGGUGAUCUGCCCGCCUCAACCUCCCAAAAUGCUGGGGUUACAGGUGUGAGCCGCCACGCCUGGUCUUCUGCAGAACUCUGACCUCAGUCUGCAGUUGUUGGGGUUCUGUGCUGAAUGUCAGACUCCCUCAUAGAAUGUAGGCUUCAUGAGCGAAGGAACCUGCCUGUUUUGCUUGUCAUUGUGUCCCCAGCACCUAGGACUGGACCUGACACACAGAAGAGGGCGCAAUAAAUAGUUGUUGAAUGAACUAAAGUGUCAUCUUGCAAAAGUGGUGGGACAGGAAAGAGGCUGAGGGGAGACCACAGAGGAGGCAUGGUCGCACCUGGGAGGGAGAGGCACAGUCCGGGCACAAGAGGAGCAGAAGCUCUGAGAGAGGGUCAUUGUGGGGAUUAAAUGAGCAUGUGGAGACCACUAUAUGAGUGCUAUUUCUUCCCUUCCUGAAGCCUCUCUGCUCAGUCCUGGUCCACUGUUUCUCUGACUGUGGUCAGUGGUGGGCACAAAGGAGUAGAGGGUCUUCUUUGGUCUGGCCUGGGACUGAAGACAAGAGGAAAUAUAAUUUCCUAUGAUAUUCAUUCAAUAGAUGAGGAAGCCAGGCCUCAGAGAGGAGAAGUGACUUGCCCAAGGUCACACAGUCAGGGACAGAGCCAGGAUUAGAACCUAAGCCUACUCAGACCCUGAGCCUAGGGUCUUCCCACUGUGCCUCCCAGUUGCUGUCGACCCCUUUGUGGACAGGUUGAGAAAAUUUCCUUCACCAGGAGAUCCACAAUGCUCUUCUUCCAGAUCUAAGACAUGCACACAACUAACUCCCUUAGAAACUGCAGAAUGAGGCUGGGCAUCCGGCUCAUGCCUGUAAUCCCAGAACUUUGGGAGGCCGAGGUGGGCAGAUCAUUUGAGAUCAGGAGUUUGAGACCAGCCUGGCCAACAUGGUGAAACCCUAUCUCUACUAAAAAUACAAAAAUUAGCCAGGCAUGGUGGCGCAUGCCUCUAAUCCCAGCUACUGGAGAGGCUGAAGCAGGAGAAUCGCUUGAACCAGGGAGAUGGAGGUUGCAGUGGGCCAAGAUCACAACACUGCACUCCGGCCUGGGCGACAGAAAGAGACCCCGUCUCAAAACGAACAAGCAGAUGGGCGCAGUGGCUCACGCCUGUAAUCUCAACAUUUUGGGAGGCCAAAGCGGCUGGAUCACCUGAGGUCAGGAGUUUGAGACCAGCCUGGCUAACCUGGCUAACGUGGUAAAACCCUGUCUCUACUAAAAGUAUAAAAAUUAACUGGGUGUGGUGGCGGGUGCUUGUAAUCCCAGCUACUUGGGAGACUGAGGCAAGAGAAUUGCUUGAACCUGGGAGGCAGAGGUUGCAGUGAGCUGAGAUCAUGCCACUGCACUCCAGCCUGGGCAACAGAAUGAGACUGUGUCUCAAAACAGACAAACAAACAAACAAAACAGAAAUCCAGGAAUGAGGGUCACCCCCUCUCCUCCCAUCUCCUGUGCUGGGCCAGAGCCCACCUGCAACUGCGGCUUAGGAGCUAGUUAUAGACCCCAACCUCCACCCCAGUCUCCAGUGUACUCGGGAUGGUCAGAGAGGGGAAGUUGGGGCACAAAGGCAGGCCCGGGGUGGUAAGGGUCCUGGAACCAGGUGGCUUCAGGUUUGCAUUCAGCUCUCCACUACCUUACUAAUUUACCUUGGCUAAGUCACUUCACCUCCCUGAGCCCCAUGUUAUUCAGCUGUAAAAUGGUUGGGGAAAAACCCUCUUCUUAGAGCUCUUCUGAGGUUGUUGACUUGAGAUUGGUGGCCCAUAGACACCCAGUCCAUAUUUAUUGAGUGACUGGCUGGCUGAUCAAAUGCAUGUUAGAGGUUUGUUAGCACAAGGCCUGGCUCGCGGGGGUUCUUGCUGUGCUUCUCCUUGGUGCCUGGCCCUACCAUGUGCUGCACCUUUAAUGCAGUCUCCUCUCCAAGCCUCAGUCCUAUCCCACAUAGGUCCUUCAGCCUGUUGGGCUACCACGACCAGGCGCUGCUGCUGUGACAAACCAGCCCUCCCCUUCCCCCUACUUAGGGUCUCUUCAAUGCUUUCCAGCCAAGCCCCACCCCCAGCUUAUGUCCCUCAUUGUCCCACCUGUGGCCCUGCUUAUGACCUCAGACUUGAAGCUUGUCUCUUUUCAGCCUCUUGUAUUUGCCCUCAAUCACAGGUGACUUGGUCUCAUAACAUUGUUUGGUUCCUGUAUAGCAUCCAAUAGUCAAGGCCUGGUUUGACAAAUUAUAAUACUGCAUAUUAUGGGUAUCCAUGGCACACAGCAGUUAAUAACUUAAUUGAUGAACUCAAGAUGCCCGAAUUCAAGUCCCAGCUCGACCACUCGUUGGCUCUGUGACUUUGGGGAAAUUAUUUAACUUUUCUGCAUUUCGGUUUCCUCAUUUAUAAAAGGGAAUAACAAACAGCCUGGGCAACAUAGCAAGACCCAGUCUCUAUAAGAAAUAAUAAAACUAGCCAGGCAUAGUGGUGCAUGCCUGUGGUCCUAGCUACUCGGGAGGCUGAGGUGGAGGAUCACUUGAGUCCAGGAGUUGGAGGCUGCAGUGAGCUAUGAUCCAGUCUGGGUGACAGAGCAAGGCUCUGUCUCUUUAAACAUUUUUUUUUAAUU
RNAcentral lists this long non-coding RNA (11127 nucleotides) under Homo sapiens (human). RNAcentral describes it as "non-protein coding lnc-ZNF683-7:1". The record is from RNAcentral. Lineage: Eukaryota; Metazoa; Chordata; Mammalia; Primates; Hominidae.